CUUUCCCAUUCCUAGCUCACCUCACCCAUCGUGAAGCCUGGAUUUCCUUUUUAUCACCGGUUUUGAUGGAUUCGAUUAAGGUGUUCCUUGGUGAAGUUUUCUGCAUGUUUCUUGUUCUUAGGAUAAUCAUAUUUCUGUAAUAUUUGAAGUUUAUUGUUUCCAUGGAGCUUCUAAAUCUUUCAUCCAGUAUGUUUUAAAUAUCUUUGUCUCUCUUCUCCACUACCUGCC
RNAcentral lists this long non-coding RNA (228 nucleotides) under Homo sapiens (human). RNAcentral describes it as "non-protein coding lnc-NBPF3-1:1". The record is from RNAcentral. Lineage: Eukaryota; Metazoa; Chordata; Mammalia; Primates; Hominidae.